GAUGAACGCUGACAGAAUGCUUAACACAUGCAAGUCAACUUGAAUUUGGGUUUUUAACUUAGGUUUGGGUGGCGGACGGGUGAGUAACGCGUAAAGAACUUGCCUCACAGCUAGGGACAACAUUUGGAAACGAAUGCUAAUACCUAAUAUUAUGAUAAUAGGGCAUCCUAUAAUUAUGAAAGCUAUAAGCGCUGUGAGAGAGCUUUGCGUCCCAUUAGCUAGUUGGAGAGGUAACAGCUCACCAAGGCGAUGAUGGGUAGCCGGCCUGAGAGGGUGAUCGGCCACAAGGGGACUGAGACACGGCCCUUACUCCUACGGGAGGCAGCAGUGGGGAAUAUUGGACAAUGGACCAAGAGUCUGAUCCAGCAAUUCUGUGUGCACGAUGAAGUUUUUCGGAAUGUAAAGUGCUUUCAGUUGGGAAGAAAGAAAUGACGGUACCAACAGAAGAAGUGACGGCUAAAUACGUGCCAGCAGCCGCGGUAAUACGUAUGUCACGAGCGUUAUCCGGAUUUAUUGGGCGUAAAGCGCGUCUAGGUGGUUAUAUAAGUCUGAUGUGAAAAUGCAGGGCUCAACUCCGUAUUGCGUUGGAAACUGUAUAACUAGAGUACUGGAGAGGUAAGCGGAACUACAAGUGUAGAGGUGAAAUUCGUAGAUAUUUGUAGGAAUGCCGAUGGGGAAGCCAGCUUACUGGACAGAUACUGACGCUGAAGCGCGAAAGCGUGGGUAGCAAACAGG
This 735-nucleotide ribosomal RNA is filed under the name uncultured Fusobacterium sp. Its description in RNAcentral is "bacterial SSU rRNA". It matches the Rfam family "Bacterial small subunit ribosomal RNA", at positions 28 to 776 of the family's 1533-position model. The record is from RNAcentral. Lineage: Bacteria; Fusobacteriati; Fusobacteriota; Fusobacteriia; Fusobacteriales; Fusobacteriaceae.